UCUUCCCCACAGAAGCCUGGAUUCUAAGAGUGUCUUUUCCCUAUUGGUCUAGUGAGAUCCUCCCAGAUGUGACAUGUUCUUGUUUGCUACUUCACUUGCGGAGGUAAGAUGGGUAUAGCAUUUCCUGUAUCUCAGUAUGGAAUGAAGAAAGCAUAGUGGAAGCUGAAAGGGAAACGGAAGCUGCCAAAUGUAAUGGGGCUGAUUAACCUGCAACAUUCAAUGUGGGAUUUAUGCAUAAACAGA
This is a long non-coding RNA of Dermochelys coriacea (leatherback sea turtle), 243 nucleotides long. RefSeq lists it as uncharacterized. The record is from RefSeq and is a predicted model, not a curated record. The transcript has 3 exons. Lineage: Eukaryota; Metazoa; Chordata; Testudines; Dermochelyidae.